RNAcentral lists this non-coding RNA (245 nucleotides) under Clostridiales bacterium. Its description in RNAcentral is "T-box sequence". It matches the Rfam family "T-box leader". From Rfam's summary of the family: Uncharged tRNA acts as the effector for transcription antitermination of genes in the T-box leader family. T-boxes are found upstream of many aminoacyl-tRNA synthetase genes and some amino acid biosynthetic genes usually in Gram-positive bacteria. Lineage: Bacteria; Bacillati; Bacillota; Clostridia; Eubacteriales. The record is from RNAcentral.
GACAAACCUGUGAGCAAGAGUAGUACCCAUAAUUGUGUAUUUCCAGAGAGCAUUGCAUCGGUGAGAGCAUGUAUUAUCCGUUAUGGAGAAUGGACUUGUGAGGGCAAACUGAUUCCGUUUCUGACGGCGUAGGGGCGACGGCAUCCAUCCGUUAUAAUUGGAAUAUGUAUUAUUGUACAUAACAGAGUGUAUUCGUAAUCGAAUAAAUUUAGGUGGCACCGCAGGAGUAAUCUCUUGUCCUAUUU